GACGAACGCUGGCGGCGUGCUUAACACAUGCAAGUGGUGCGACGAACCGGGCUUCGGCCCGGGGCCAAGCCGCGAACGGGUGAGUAUCACGUGGGUAACCUGCCCCGAUGACCGGGACAACCCGAGGAAACUCGGGCUAAUACCGGAUGUGCUCUCCCCACAUCAGUGGGACGAGUAAAGGAAGCUUCGGCCUCCGCAUUGGGAUGGGCCCGCGGCCCAUUAGCUUGCUGGUGAGGUAAGAGCUCACCAAGGCAACGAUGGGUAGCUGGUCUGAGAGGACGAUCAGCCACACUGGGACUGAGACACGGCCCAGACUCCUACGGGAGGCAGCAGUGGGGAAUCUUGCGCAAUGCGCGAAAGCGUGACGCAGCAACGCCGCGUGAGGGAAGACGGCCUUCGGGUUGUAAACCUCUUUCAGGAGGGACGAAGGUUCAGGCGCGAAUAGCGUCCUGGACUGACGGUACCUCCAGAAGAAGCCCCGGCUAACUACGUGCCAGCAGCCGCGGUAAUACGUAGGGGGCUAGCGUUGUCCGGAAUCAUUGGGCGUAAAGAGCGCG
RNAcentral lists this ribosomal RNA (557 nucleotides) under uncultured bacterium. RNAcentral's name for it is "bacterial SSU rRNA". It matches the Rfam family "Bacterial small subunit ribosomal RNA", at positions 28 to 571 of the family's 1533-position model. The record is from RNAcentral.